UUCCGUAGGGGUGCCUGCGGAGGGAUCAUUGCUGGAACGCGCCCCAGGCGCACCCAGAAACCCUUUGUGAACUUAUACCUUACUGUUGCCUCGGCGCAUGCCGGCCCCCCUGGGGGCCCCUCCUUCUGGAGGAGCAGGCACGCCGGCGGCCAACCUAACUCUUGUUUUUACACUGAAACUCUGAGCACAAAACAUAAAUGAAUCAAAACUUUCAACAACGGAUCUCUUGGUUCUGGCAUCGAUGAAGAACGCAGCGAAAUGCGAUAAGUAAUGUGAAUUGCAGAAUUCAGUGAAUCAUCGAAUCUUUGAACGCACAUUGCGCCCUCUGGUAUUCCGGAGGGCAUGCCUGUUCGAGCGUCAUUUCAACCCUCAAGCCUGGCUUGGUGAUGGGGCACUGCCUGUAAAAGGGCAGGCCCUGAAAUUCAGUGGCGAGCUCGCCAGGACCCCGAGCGCAGUAGUUAAACCCUCGCUCUGGAAGGCCCUGGCGGUGCCCUGCCGUUAAACCCCCAACUUCUGAAAAUUUGACCUCGGAUCAGGUAGGAAUACCCGCUGAACUUAAGCAUAUCAAA
RNAcentral lists this ribosomal RNA (569 nucleotides) under Diaporthe sp. Its description in RNAcentral is "eukaryotic LSU rRNA". The stretch from base 207 to 360 matches the Rfam family "5.8S ribosomal RNA". The record is from RNAcentral. Lineage: Eukaryota; Fungi; Ascomycota; Sordariomycetes; Diaporthales; Diaporthaceae.